AAGUCGUAACAAGGUUUCCGUAGGUGAACCUGCGGAAGGAUCAUUAACAACAUAUCCUAACUUAAAAACCCUGUGAACUUUCAAAUUCGGAGACCUCUGAAUAACCUUGGGCGGUCGCGGUUGGUAAGGCAAGUGACCCGGUACCCUCAAGACCAGUGUUCAAUGAUCUGUCAGUGUUCAUUGACUGGAAUCAAACGUUCUGUCAGUGUGCGUUUGAUUUGCAAGGGUGGCGCAGUAAACGAUCGCUGGAGGCCGACACGGCCGGCGACUGGGUCAGCGAGCUUUGCUCCCACUGUUACUACUUACAAGAUUUCCCAAUUAGUGAAAGCUAUUGGGCUAUAACUAAACGACUGUUAACAAUGGAUAUCUCGAUUCUC
RNAcentral lists this unclassified non-coding RNA (377 nucleotides) under fungal sp. Its description in RNAcentral is "partial internal transcribed spacer region". The stretch from base 1 to 46 matches the Rfam family "Eukaryotic small subunit ribosomal RNA", at positions 1786 to 1831 of the family's 1831-position model. The record is from RNAcentral. Lineage: Eukaryota; Fungi.